This 411-nucleotide ribosomal RNA is filed under the name uncultured Rhizophagus. RNAcentral describes it as "partial 28S ribosomal RNA". Lineage: Eukaryota; Fungi; Glomeromycota; Glomeromycetes; Glomerales; Glomeraceae. The record is from RNAcentral.
GAGAGUUAAACAGUACGUGAAAUUGUUGAAAGGGAAACGAUUGAAGCCAGUCGUACCUAUGGGUAAUCAGCCUUUUGGGUGUGAUUUUGUGGAGCGUGAGGAGUUAAACGCCUUCAUGCCUGCAUAUUCGUGCACUUUGGGUGUACUUGCCCGUGUGUAAGUUAACAUCAAUUUUGGUGGUCAUAAAAUGGCUGGAGGAAUGUAGCUUCGAUCUUGUAUUGAAGUGUUAUAGCCUUCGGUAGAUGUGACGAUCGGGAUUGAGGAUUGCAACGGAUACCCUUCGGGGCUACCUGUCUGAUCUCUGAUUGUUGCUCUGGUGCCGAAAGCUUGCUUACGGUUAUCAAAGUCGAUGGUCAAUAGGUUAGAAUGGGUUAAAUUCGUUAAGGAUGUUGACGUAAUGGCUUUAAACGA